This 327-nucleotide ribosomal RNA is filed under the name uncultured eukaryote. RNAcentral describes it as "partial 18S ribosomal RNA". It matches the Rfam family "Eukaryotic small subunit ribosomal RNA", at positions 1470 to 1796 of the family's 1831-position model. The record is from RNAcentral.
CCCCUAGAUGUUCUGGGCCGCACGCGCGCUACACUGACGAAUGCAACGAGCUUAUAACCUUGGCCGAAAGGUCUGGGUAAUCUCCAAAUUUCGUCGUGAUGGGGAUAGAUUAUUGUAAUUAUUAAUCUUCAACGAGGAAUGCCUAGUAAGCGCAAGUCAUCAGCUUGCGUUGAUUACGUCCCUGCCCUUUGUACACACCGCCCGUCGCUCCUACCGAUUGAAUGGUCCGGUGAAGCGUUCGGACCGUGGCCUUUGGACGGUUCGCCGUCUGUUGGCUGCGGGAAGUUCGUUAAACCUUAUCAUUUAGAGGAAGGAGAANUCGUAACA